AAGCACUCAAAAUGACUUCGGACUUUCCUUUCUUGCUAAGCUAGACUGAAGGCUGGUGGAAAUUUACAGCCAAUGGUUCUCAAAACGUGUUUUCUGGGCAGGGAGCAUAGGAAUCACCUGGGAGCUCUUUAAAAAUAUUCAAUCUCUGGAGCCCGACCUGAGACUGACUAAGAAUCAGGUGCGAUGACGUUGGGGCCCUGUGAUCUGCGUUUACCAAGCCCACCCCCAGAAAAUUCUUUUUUCUUUUUCUUUUUAAAGCUGCACCUGCAGCACAUGGAAGUUCCCAGGCUAGGGAUUGAAUCUGAGCUGCAACUGCUUGCUUAUUCCACAGCCACAGCAACACCACAGAUCCAAACAGCAUCUUCAACCUACGGUGCAGCUUGCAGCGAUGUUGGAACUUUAACUCACUGAGGUAGGCCAGGGAUGGAAGUCACAACCUCACAUAUACUAUGUUGGGGACCGGUCGAGCCGCAACGGGAACUCCUCCCCGCCCCCCACCCCAAUGAUUCUAAUGCUCCUUAAAGUGCAGGACCCAGUGUUUAAAUCAUCCUUUAUCCUAUUACCAGCUCUGGAAAUAAAUCAAAUUGGAGGCAGCUGAUGUCCACAGCUUGACUGACUCCUUGCUAUUUGCUCUUGGUUGUACCUGAGAUAAUCUCAGCUUUUGACCUAUUUGGUCUUCCCUUGGCUUUUGAAAACCAGCUUUUUGAAACCUAUCUUUGGGAGUUUACUUUUAGACUGGUUUUCUUUAUCACGGCUCCAGGAAAAGUGACUUUCAUAGCUAGAUUCUGACAGUGGAAGAGGAAAGGGGGUGGGCAGGGGUGUGGGCAAGCCGGUUGCAUUCUCAGCUGUUCUGGGCUUCACCUUUGCCUUAGGAGUUUGUCCACCUCCCCUCCCUGCUCCAGUCCACCUGUGAGAGGCAGGCUGUCUGUACCUUGAAAUUCACCACAGUGGGAGUAUUUACAUCAUGGAAAUUGCAAAUGUUCAAGGUAUUUUUUGUUUCUUUGUUUUAUAUAGAGUUGGUUUAUGAGCACAACUCUGAAUGCAUGAUUUAAAAUGACAUUGGCUGGAGUUCCCGUCGUGGCGCAGUGGAAACGAAUCCAACUAGGAACCAUGAAGUUGCAGGUUCAAUCCCUGGCCUUGAUCAGUGGGUUAAGAAUCCGGCGUUGCUGUGAGCUGUGGUGAAGGGUCGCAGAUGUGGCUCAGAUCCCGUGUUGCUGUGGCUGUGGUGUAGGCUGGCAGCUGUAGCUCCAAUUUGACCCUAGCCUGGGAACCUCCACAUGCGGGUGAGUGCAGCACUAAAAAGCAAAAAUAAAAUAAAAUGACAUUGGCAAGUGCCAAGUUUGUGUGAACUUGGGAAUGUCAUUCAACCUCUCAGCUAUCACUGUACAAAACUGAGGAGAUAAAAGUCCAGAUAAGAGAAUGGAAAUUAUCCGUAACUCCACCAAACAUAACCAUGAUUAAUGUUUUGUUGCAUUUCUUUCGUGCUGUGCGUUUUGUUUAAAUAUUUGAGAUUAUACAAGUGGGCGUCCUUUUUCUCGACUAUCAUCAUUAUACACAUUUUUCUGUGUUUUUAUUUAAAUUAUUGAAAACUUUUUUUGGGGUCUUUUUAGGGCCACACCCACAGCAUAUGGAAGUUCCUGGGCUAGGGGUCAAAUCCGAGCUGUAGCUGCUGGCCACAGCCACAGCCACAGCAAUGCCAGAUCCAAGCUGUGUCUGUGACCUACACCACAGCUCAUGGCAACGCUAGAUCCUUAACCCACUCAAACCUGUGUCCUCAUGGAUACCAGUCAGAUUAAUUUCCACUGAACCAUGACAGGAACUCCAAAAACACGUUUGUUUAAUGGCUGUAUAAUGUACCAUGCUUUGCAUUAAACACUUUACUUGAUCUGUACUAAUGUUGCAAGGUCUUUUCCCCUGUGUUUUUAUUGUUUUCUUAGAUUAUAUUCCCAGAAGAGGAAUUACUGGAUCAGUUUUUGAGGCUUAAAUACAUAGUUCUAAAUUGUUUUCCAAAAUGUUUGUAUUAGUACGUAUUCCCUCCAGUGAAGAAGAGUAACUCCUUUUAAUUACUGUGUUAACCAAACUAAGAGCUCUGUUUUAAUUUAGAAACUAGCAUUUUGGCAUGUUGUAUUUGGAUGUCUGUUUGUUGCCUGAUAGUUUUACAAGAAGAUGACCAAAUUUGGAAUGUUAUUUUUUUUAAAAGGCAUGAUAUACAUGCUGUAGUAUACUCUUCUUUUUUCUCCCUUUUAUUUCCUUAAAUUGAAGAGACUGUAAAUACUUUUCCAUGCCACUUAAUAGCCUCCUAAGCAUCUUUUAAAAUGUCUGCCCAGUAGUCCAUAUAUGGAUAUGCUAUUUUUAUUUAAGCCAUCCCUUAUGGUUGGACACUUCUGCAUUGUGUUUUCCAUUAAUGUCAAUAAUACAUUUUAUCCACUGAACUCCGGGUUUUAUAGCUGGCAGCCUUGUUUGGGAACAGUUCAGAGAGAAGCUGACUUAAUUUUCGAAGGUCCCAGCUGACCAGCUUCAAAAUGGAUUCUCGUGCCUGCCUUUUCCACUUUUUCUUCCCCCUCUGGUUGUUCCCUUGGCUUCCUUUCACAGAUCUGUAACAGAGGGAAGCUCAGGGUUCUCCAUCUUCCCCAGCUCAGUCUGUCUGGGGCUUCAUCUCUGGAGCCCACAGAGCCAAGGCUGAGAUAAUUCUCACUAUACCACGCUGCCUUCUCUCCUUGUUUGUUUGAAAUAAUGAGGGGACCAGUUAAAGAGUAAUAUAGUACUGGAGUUCCCAUCGUGGCUCAGUGAUUAAUGAAUAUGACUAGGAACCAUGAGGUUGCAGGUUCGAUCCCUGGCCUUGCUCAGUGGGUUAAGGAUUCGGCGUUGCUGUGAGCUGUGGUGUAGGUCGCAGAUGUGGCUCGGAUCCCGUGUUGCUGUGGCUCUGGUGUAGGCCAGCGGCUAUGGCUCCGAUUCGACCGGGGAACCUGGGAACCUCCAUAUGCCGCAGGAGCGGCCCAAGAAAUGGUAUAAAAGACCAAAAAAAAAAAAAAAAAAAAA
RNAcentral lists this long non-coding RNA (3039 nucleotides) under Sus scrofa (pig). RNAcentral describes it as "lncRNA (ENSSSCG00025055829.1)". The record is from RNAcentral. Lineage: Eukaryota; Metazoa; Chordata; Mammalia; Artiodactyla; Suidae.